CGGUAAUUCCAGCUCCAAUAGCGUAUACUAAAGUUGUUGCAGUUAAAAAGCUCGUAGUUGGAUUUCUGCGGGGACGGAGCGGCCGGUCGCAAUUUGCGACUCGAGCUAGCGCUUUCCCCGCAUCCUGCCGCGAACCGUGCUACCAUUAGUUUGGUGGCGCUGGGGAUCGGCUCGAUUACUUUGAGAAAAAUAGAGUGUUCAAAGCAGGCCACACGCCUUGAAUAAGUUAGCAUGGAAUAAUGACUAAGGACUUUGGUUCUUUUCGUUGGUGUUCGGGACUGAAGUAAUGAUUGAUAGGGACAGUUGGGGCGGUCCGUAUUCCAAAGCGAGAGGUGAAAUUCUUAGACCUUCGGAAGACGAACAGCUGCGAAAGCGUUCCGCAAGGAUGUUCCCUUUGAUCAAGAACGAAAGUUGGGGGAUCGAAGACGAUCAGAUACCGUCGUAGUCUCAACUAUAAACUAUACCAGCUAGGGAUCGGCCAACGUUUAAUUUAUCGACUUGGUCGGCACCUUAUGAGAAAUCAAAGCAUCUGGGUUCCGGGGGGAGUAUGGUCGCAAGGCUGAAACUUAAAGGAAUUGACGGAAGGGCACCACCAGCCGUGGAGCCUGUGGCUUAAUUUGACUCAACACGGGAAAACUUACCAGGUCCAGACAUAGGAAGGAUUGACAGAUUGAUAGCUCUUUCUUGAUUCUGUGGGUGGUGGUGCAUGGCCGUUUUUAGUCGGUGGAUGUGAUCUGUCUGCUUAAUUGCGUUAACGGACGAGACCCCAGCCUGCUAAAUAGCGCGGCCGAGCUUUGCUCGGUGCGAGCUUCUUAGAGGGACCAUGAUGCGCGAUAGCACAAGGAAGUUUGGGGCAACAACAGGUCUGUGAUGCCCUUAGAUGUUCUGGGCCGCACACGGGCUACACUGGCGCCUGCAACGAGCAUAUCAGCUGGCCCGAGAGGGUCUUGGCUAAUCUUUGGAACCGGCGCCGUGCUUGGGAUUGACCAUUGCAAUUGUUGGUCAUGCAACGAGGAAUGCCUUGUAAACGCGAGUCAUCAGCUCGCAUUGAAUACGUCCCUGCCCUUUGUACACACCGCCCGUCGCUCCUACCGAUGAAUGUUCCGAUGAAAUUUUCGGAGAGCACCAGAGAACGGGGCUCCGCCUUGCAGAUCUGGAGGCUCAAAGUCACUUAAAUCUGAACAUUUCGAGAAAGGAGAAGUCGUAACAAGGUAACC
This 1217-nucleotide ribosomal RNA is filed under the name uncultured Rhizaria. Its description in RNAcentral is "SSU rRNA". It matches the Rfam family "Eukaryotic small subunit ribosomal RNA", at positions 577 to 1804 of the family's 1831-position model. The record is from RNAcentral.